GACUUCUGGAGAGGGAGAGGGAUGGAGAUUGAAUUCAAUCACCAAUGGCCAAUGAUUUAAUCAACCAUGCCUGUGUCAUGGAACACAGGAAACCUAAACAACAUAAAAAUCCUUAACAACAGGGUUUGGUGAGCUUCUGGAUUGGUGAACACAUUGAGGUGGUAGAAGGCUAGAGUUCAGGAGAUGACAUGGGAAGACAUGGAAGCUUUGUGUCCCUUCCCAUAUACCUUGCUCUCUGCAUCUCUUCCAUUUGGCUCCUCCUGAGUUCGUGCCUCUCAACAUCCAGCAGAAUGUGGGAAUAUCUAUGCCUUGAUAGGUCUUCAGUUACUCAUGGUGAAACAUAUUGCUGAGUUGAGUAAAUAUUUCCUUCCAUAAAGGUAAAUAAGCAUCUCAAGAGCAAGUUUCUACAUUUUGUAUUUCCCUGUUUUAUUUCUGUAAAAUUGUGCAACCAAGAAUUAUGACCUACUGAUAUUAGAAUAAAAUUUGCAGAAGUUUGA
Molecule: long non-coding RNA, 497 nt
Filed under: Homo sapiens (human)
Lineage: Eukaryota; Metazoa; Chordata; Mammalia; Primates; Hominidae
Description: non-protein coding lnc-ACTR2-3:4
Source: RNAcentral